GUCUAUAGCCAUCCUACCCUGAACAAGCCUGAUCCCGUCUGAUCUUGGAAGCUAAGCAGGGUCAGGCCUGGUUAGUACUUAGAUGGGCGACCACUUAGGAAGAUGAGGUGCUGUAGGCA
This 119-nucleotide ribosomal RNA is filed under the name Pteropus alecto (black flying fox). The record is from RNAcentral. Lineage: Eukaryota; Metazoa; Chordata; Mammalia; Chiroptera; Pteropodidae.